This 650-nucleotide long non-coding RNA is filed under the name Fukomys damarensis (Damara mole-rat). RNAcentral describes it as "lncRNA (ENSFDAG00000028844.1)". Lineage: Eukaryota; Metazoa; Chordata; Mammalia; Rodentia; Bathyergidae. The record is from RNAcentral.
AGCAAACUGAGAGGUGACCCAUUAAAUGUGAAGAAUAUUUUUUCUACUACUUGGGAAAUUUUCUGGAACCCAGAAUUUCUUGAACCUUUACACUAUGAGAAGGCUGGAAAACUAUCUCAUUGCCUACGGCAGAAUGCUCAGUAGCUGCUGAGGGAUGAGAUCACUAGGAGGAUGGGUCGGGCACAGCUCCCCUAUUCAACUUAGAAGACAAACAAGGGCAAACACAACAUCAUGACCAGCUCCAAGAACAUAAAAGGAUCCCAUGCAGAGACCUGGCAGAGCAAGAACCAAAAAAAAAAAAGGAGAGAAAAGAGAAAUAAAGAGGGGAAGAAAAUCUAUCAAGCAAAGAAAAGGGGGUGGUGUUUCUAUUCUUGACAGCCCAUUUUAAAAAAUAAAUGUGAUUUGGUAUUUGAGUAGCAGACUUCUUUCAUUGGAAAGGGGGUGUUACUACAUUGGCUUGCAUAAUCACUUUACAUACUGCAUCUAUUAAGGUACUUAUUCAUUUCUAUUUUGGAUGGUUAUGAGCCUAUCUGUUUUUUCCUAUAGAAUAUGGGCUCUUCAAGAGCCAGAAGUAUGCUGUAUGCCUCUGCCAAAAAAAGUUCCCUGCACAAAGCAGAUAUUCACUAUUUGUAUUUGAAUAAAUGUUGAAG